AUUGAACGCUGGCGGCAGGCCUAACACAUGCAAGUCGAACGAGUGGCGGACGGGUGAGCAAUGUCUGUGAAUCUGCCCGCUGGAGGGGGUUAACUAAUGGAAACUGUAGCCAAAACCGCCCUCCUUAGGCUGUGUCCAGGUGGGAGUAGCUAGUAGGUGGGGUAACGGCUCACCUAGGCGACGAUCCCUAGCUGGUCUGAGAGGAUGAACAGGCACACUGGAACUGAGACACGGUCCAGACUCCUACGGGAGGCAGCAGUGGGGAAUAUUGCACAAUGGGCGCAAGCCUGAUGCAGCCAUGCCGCGUGUAUGAAGAAGGCCUUCGGGUUGUAAAGUACUUUAAGCGAGGAGGCGUUACUCUCAGAAGAAGCACCGGCUAACUCCGUGCCAGCAGCCGCGGUAAUAC
This 406-nucleotide ribosomal RNA is filed under the name uncultured bacterium. RNAcentral describes it as "partial 16S ribosomal RNA". It matches the Rfam family "Bacterial small subunit ribosomal RNA", at positions 30 to 526 of the family's 1533-position model. The record is from RNAcentral.